RNAcentral lists this ribosomal RNA (253 nucleotides) under uncultured bacterium. Its description in RNAcentral is "partial 16S ribosomal RNA". It matches the Rfam family "Bacterial small subunit ribosomal RNA", at positions 524 to 776 of the family's 1533-position model. The record is from RNAcentral.
UACAGAGGUCUCAAGCGUUGUUCGGAUUCAUUGGGCGUAAAGGGUGCGUAGGCGGCGCCGUAAGUCAGGUGUGAAAUUUCGGAGCUUAACUCCGAAACUGCAUUUGAUACUGCGGUGCUUGAGGACUGGAGAGGAGACUGGAAUUCACGGUGUAGCAGUGAAAUGCGUAGAUAUCGUGAGGAAGACCAGUGGCGAAGGCGGGUCUCUGGACAGGGCCUGACACUGAGGCACGAAGGCUAGGGGAGCAAACGGG